RNAcentral lists this ribosomal RNA (253 nucleotides) under uncultured bacterium. Its description in RNAcentral is "partial 16S ribosomal RNA". It matches the Rfam family "Bacterial small subunit ribosomal RNA", at positions 524 to 776 of the family's 1533-position model. The record is from RNAcentral.
UACGAAGGGGACUAGCGUUGUUCGGAAUUACUGGGCGUAAAGCGCACGUAGGCGGACUGUUAAGUCGGGGGUGAAAUCCUGGGGCUCAACCUCAGAAUUGCCUCCGAUACUGGCAGUCUCGAGUGCGGGAGAGGUGAGUGGAAUUCCCAGUGUAGAGGUGAAAUUCGUAGAUAUUGGGAAGAACACCAGUGGCGAAGGCGGCUCACUGGCCCGUAACUGACGCUGAGGUGCGAAAGCGUGGGGAGCAAACAGG